GGCUCUGUAGUGAAGUUCAUGAUGAGUUGCAAGCUCGUAGAUGCGCAUUGAUAAUGUGCCGGAGUCU
RNAcentral lists this transfer RNA (67 nucleotides) under Phylloscopus collybita (eurasian chiffchaff). Its description in RNAcentral is "tRNA-Cys". Lineage: Eukaryota; Metazoa; Chordata; Aves; Passeriformes; Phylloscopidae. The record is from RNAcentral.